UAGGGAAUCUUCGGCAAUGGGGGGAACCCUGACCGAGCAACGCCGCGUGAGUGAAGAAGGUUUUCGGAUCGUAAAGCUCUGUUGUUAAGGAAGAACGAGUGUGAGAAUGGAAAGUUCAUACUGUGACGGUACUUAACCAGAAAGGGACGGCUAACUACGUGCCAGCAGCCGCGGUAAUACGUAGGUCCCGAGCGUUGUCCGGAUUUAUUGGGCGUAAAGCGAGCGCAGGCGGUUAGAUAAGUCUGAAGUUAAAGGCAGUGGCUCAACCAUUGUAGGCUUUGGAAACUGUUUAACUUGAGUGCAGAAGGGGAGAGUGGAAUUCCAUGUGUAGCGGUGAAAUGCGUAGAUAUUAGGAAGAAUACCGGUGGCGAAAGCGGCUCUCUGGUCUGUAACUGACGCUGAGGCUCGAAAGCGUGGGGAGCGAACAGG
This 429-nucleotide ribosomal RNA is filed under the name Bacteroidota bacterium. RNAcentral's name for it is "Bacteroidetes bacterium partial 16S ribosomal RNA". It matches the Rfam family "Bacterial small subunit ribosomal RNA", at positions 355 to 776 of the family's 1533-position model. Lineage: Bacteria; Pseudomonadati; Bacteroidota. The record is from RNAcentral.